This 27-nucleotide non-coding RNA is filed under the name Homo sapiens (human). The record is from RNAcentral. Lineage: Eukaryota; Metazoa; Chordata; Mammalia; Primates; Hominidae.
UGGGUGGCUUUAGCCAUAGGAAUGGAC